UCAAGUGGUGCGGUAGAGUGG
RNAcentral lists this non-coding RNA (21 nucleotides) under Arabidopsis thaliana (thale cress). The record is from RNAcentral. Lineage: Eukaryota; Viridiplantae; Streptophyta; Magnoliopsida; Brassicales; Brassicaceae.